UGGGGAAUAUUGGACAAUGGGGGCAACCCUGAUCCAGCAAUGCCGCGUGUGUGAAGAAGGCCUUCGGGUUGUAAAGCACUUUUAUCCGGAACGAAACGUGUCGGGUUAAUAACCCGGCAAACUGACGGUACCGGAGGAAUAAGCACCGACUAACUUCGUGCCAGCAGCCGCGGUAAUACGAAGGGUGCAAGCGUUAAUCGGAAUUACUGGGCGUAAAGGGUGCGUAGGCGGUUAGUUAAGUCUGUUGUGAAAUCCCCGGGCUCAACCUGGGAAUGGCGAUGGAUACUGGCUAGCUAGAGUGUGUCAGAGGAUGGUGGAAUUCCCGGUGUAGCGGUGAAAUGCGUAGAGAUCGGGAGGAACAUCAGUGGCGAAGGCGGCCAUCUGGGACAACACUGACGCUGAAGCACGAAAGCGUGGGGAGCAAAC
RNAcentral lists this ribosomal RNA (426 nucleotides) under uncultured bacterium. Its description in RNAcentral is "bacterial SSU rRNA". It matches the Rfam family "Bacterial small subunit ribosomal RNA", at positions 355 to 773 of the family's 1533-position model. The record is from RNAcentral.